This 502-nucleotide ribosomal RNA is filed under the name uncultured Glomus. Its description in RNAcentral is "SSU rRNA". It matches the Rfam family "Eukaryotic small subunit ribosomal RNA", at positions 569 to 1075 of the family's 1831-position model. Lineage: Eukaryota; Fungi; Glomeromycota; Glomeromycetes; Glomerales; Glomeraceae. The record is from RNAcentral.
AGCAGCCGCGGUAAUUCCAGCUCCAAUAGCGUAUAUUAAAGUUGUUGCAGUUAAAAAGCUCGUAGUUGAAUUUCGGGAUCAAUCUGUUGGUCGUGCCUUUGGUACGUACUAGCUUAUUGAUUUCUCCCUUCUGACGAACCAUGAUGUCAUUAAUUUGGUGUCAUGGGAAAUCAGGACUGUUACUUUGAAAAAAUUAGAGUGUUUAAAGCAGGCUCACGCUUGAAUACAUUAGCAUGGAAUAAUGAAAUAGGACGUUUUGAUUCUAUUUUGUUGGUUUCUAGGAUCGACGUAAUGAUUAAUAGGGAUAGUUGGGGGCAUUAGUAUUCAAUUGUCAGAGGUGAAAUUCUUGGAUUUAUUGAAGACUAACUACUGCGAAAGCAUUUGCCAAGGAUGUUUUCAUUAAUCAAGAACGAAAGUUAGGGGAUCGAAGACGAUCAGAUACCGUCGUAGUCUUAACCAUAAACUAUGCCGACUAGGGAUCGGAUGAUGUAAUUUUUAAUGA